This 541-nucleotide ribosomal RNA is filed under the name Providencia stuartii. RNAcentral describes it as "partial 23S ribosomal RNA". It matches the Rfam family "Bacterial large subunit ribosomal RNA", at positions 1 to 581 of the family's 2925-position model. The record is from RNAcentral. Lineage: Bacteria; Pseudomonadati; Pseudomonadota; Gammaproteobacteria; Enterobacterales; Morganellaceae.
GGUUAAGCGACUAAGCGUACACGGUGGAUGCCUAGGCAAUCAGAGGCGAUGAAGGACGUGCUAAUCUGCGAAAAGCGUCGGUAAGGUGAUAUGAACCGUUAUAACCGACGAUGUCCGAAUGGGGAAACCCAGUGCAAUUCGUUGCACUAUCGUUUGAUGAAUCCAUAGUCAAACGAGGCGAACCGGGGGAACUGAAACAUCUCAGUACCCCGAGGAAAAGAAAUCAACCGAGAUUCCCCUAGUAGCGGCGAGCGAACGGGGAGCAGCCCAGAGUCUUAAUCAGCAUCAGCAUCAGGAGAACGGUCUGGAAAGGCCGGCAAUAAAGGGUGAUAGCCCCGUAUCCGAAGGUGUUGGUGUUGUGAACUCGACGAGUAGGGCGGGACACGUGUUAUCCUGUCUGAAUAUGGGGGGACCAUCCUCCAAGGCUAAAUACUCCUGAUUGACCGAUAGUGAACCAGUACCGUGAGGGAAAGGCGAAAAGAACCCCGGCGAGGGGAGUGAAAUAGAACCUGAAACCGUGUACGUACAAGCAGUGGGAGCC